Molecule: long non-coding RNA, 4707 nt
Filed under: Phocoena sinus (vaquita)
Lineage: Eukaryota; Metazoa; Chordata; Mammalia; Artiodactyla; Phocoenidae
Description: lncRNA (ENSPSNG00000021981.1)
Source: RNAcentral
GUAGCUUAAUAUAGCCUAAACAAUAUUCAAAGUAGUUAUUCCUUAUCCUGUUGUCAUUUAGGUCUUUCAAUAACAGACUUCAGAGGCAGCAACUCAAGAAAGCAUCUAAGAGGGGCAGGUAAAUUCUCUCUGUGCAUUAUGGUAAAGGGCAUGAACCCAUUCCAAUGUGAAAGUAGGUAGGAAGUAAAGACAAAAUUGGCCUGAGUCUGAGGCCCAAGUCCUUUUAUGAGCCUUGUGAUAUAACAAGAGAAAAGGAGAAAGCCAGAUCCCAUCCCCAAAAAAGAAGGUAACAAGAGGAAGUGGUUUAUGUAAAUUCUUUGGCCACAUCUUUUCUCCCACUAGAAUCAAGUUCUUCUUCUACUUUCACUUUUUCUUUUGAAUAAGAAAUUGCCCCAGUUUCUUAUUUCCCUUGUUAAACAUGCCUGAGGGGUUAGGUUUAUGGCUGAACCAGCCAGUUGUUUCUUGUUCCUUAGCAAGCUCUGCCAUUUGACCAAGGGCAGUCUUUUUUGUUGUCAUGGCAACCAACAUUUACAUAAGCAAGAACUAGGGGAAAACAUUUGUUUGGAAUGAUUUGUGGUAAAUUUCAUUGUAAUGGAAAGAUAAAACACCAACUUGGUGGGCUAGCAGCUAGAAUUGGGAACAACAGGAUGAAUUUUUCCGGUUCUUUUUAGUGAGAUCUAUUUGAUAGGUACCACUAUUGGCUAUCAAAAAAACCCUGAUGUCUAGGAAAAAAGGAAUACAUAUAAUGAUCUUUAGUUCUGUCCUUGAUCACAUUUUCAAUAGCAAUUAGGAUAUGGUGUAUGUGUGGGUGCCUGUUCUUCUAAAGCAGAGGUUAUUGAUCCAGAAUCUUGAUCCCUGGGGAAUCUACAGAUAGACUCAUAAAGGGUGUGGCAGAGACACCUCACUCAAAGCCAUAUUCUUUUCUUCCUGUGCAUCGUACAUUUUCCAGGCUUCCUUGUAUUACAUAUGACCAUGUGAUUGAGUUCAGCCAAUGGACUGUGUACAGAAGUGCCUGUACCACUUUCAGGCCUGGCCUAUAGAAACCUUCCACAGGUGUUCCUCCAUGCUCUUCCUUUCCAUCAGGUGGGAAUGGAGAUGACACCCAGGGCAAAUCCUUCAUCCACCUGAGCCCAAAGUGACUACACAGAGAAGGGCCUCUUUGGCUUGGUGACUGGCUUAAUUAGCAAGAAAUAAACUUUCGUUCAAUCAUAUGUUUUAAGGUCAAAUAGUUACAUUAGUUAGCCUACUCCGACUAAUACAAGGGAGUUGAGUUGGAUAGAUGAGAGGUUGACCAACUGGCAGGUUGUUAGGACCACAUGAUGCCAAAGCUUUGUUGAAAUCAAUAAGAUGCUUCAGGCACCUCAGAUAAAUAACUUUUUAGUGUAUGUCCUAUGUAAUACCUGAAAUUGAAAUUUAACUGGGCAUCCUGUAUUUUUAUUUGCUAAAUCUGGCAGUUCUAUCCCUGGUCUCCCCUUUAGAGAAACACUGCUGCAGGGCUGCUGCUCUUUCCUCCACGGGAACUGAAUUCUUCUGAAGGAAAAACAAUCCAAACUAGGACACCUAGGGCCAACCAGCUCAUUCCGUAGCUCACAUUCUUGUCAUCUUUGCUAAUUGCCCCAAGUGUAAAUCCCCCUAGUCACCUCUCAUUUUGUCACUGGCAUCCUCAAGCUGUACUGGGUCUUCUCUUCUGUCCCCCAUUUUUGUACAUUACUCCAUCUUUGAAGCUUUUGCCAACCUGUUAGGCUCCCUGCCACUUUACUGUUGCCAAUCAAAUUUCUCCUCAUUUAUUAAAGAUUUUUGACGUGUGGCUCACAGUUUCUUCUUGCCAAGGUCUGCUGUCUUCUGGGGUUACCCAUUCAUCACCUAGCUUUUCACUUUAUUGACCACCUCAAAUCCAUUAUCUUGUACUGUUAUAUCCCCGGAAUCUUAAACAUCUUACUCCCUGACCACUACUUUCUAGCCUUCCAGUUCUCUCACUGUCUUCCCAAAGCCUUUGCUCUUCCAUUUCAAGGCACCUUCUAGUUCCUAAACUCUUCAGCUAUCAGCCAUCUACUAUCCUUUUUUUUUCUAGUUAGAUAAUGAAGAAAUACAUAAAAUAUUGUCAGGUCUCAGAUACAUCCAACUGCCCACUGGACACCUUUUGGAUAUCUUGAAGGCACCUCAAAUUCAGUAUAUUCCAAACUGGAUUCAUCAUCCCUUCCCUUAUCUGCCCCUCAUACACAUUCCCUAUCUCAAUGUCUAUCACCGAUUAGCUAAGCCAAAAACCUGGGGACCAUCUUUUAUUCCUUCCUCUCGAGAGUUCAUCACCCCAUUUCUAGUCAUUUACCAAGUCCUAACUCCUGAGCAUCUAAAAUCAGUUUACUUACCUCCAUCCCCACUGCUUCUACCUUAGUUCAAACUGCCAAUGUUUCUCAUCUGGAUCAGCUCAAAAGCCACCUGGGUGCCUUUAGUUUUGGUCCCUCCAAUCCCUUUGUUAUAUUGCAGCCUUAGUGAGCUUUCUAUAAUUUAGAUUAGAUUAGAUUAUAUUCUCCUUCAGCAGAUAUCUAGACUCCCUGCAAAGGGAUACAGAGCUCUUUAUGUUCUAGUUCCUGCUCCUGUCUCCAGCCUCCCCUCUCGUCACUUUCUCUGCUGUACUCUGGACUCUAGCCAUACUGAGUUUGUAUACUUUUUUACCUGACCCACCUGCCCACCCCUCCAGGCUUUCAUACAGUCUGUACCUCUAUCUGGCUCACCUUCGAUUACUAGUCUUACCAGACACUCUGAUUUGGGUUAUGUAUCUGUUCCAUGUCCUCUCUUGGCAAUAUGUGCUUACAGUUGUCACGCUGAACUGAAAUUGCCUGUGCGUGUGUCUGUCACAAGACCAAGACUUCUCAUUGUAUUUCCAACACCCAGCUCUGCUUGACACACAGCAGAUACCCAGGGUAUGUAUUUUGAACAAAAGAAUGAAAACAGGAUAGGUGGGCUAGAGGUCAUCAAAAGCCAAGUGGGAGCAGUGGGUAGUAUUACUCCUAGGGACUUAAAGUUAGUGUCAGUUAGCUUUUGCUGCAAAAGAAACCACAUCAAUACUUAAUGGCUUAAAACAACCAUCAUUUAUCUUAACAAUUCUACAGCUCAGCAGUUUGGGUUGGGUUGGGUUCUGCUGGACAGUUCUUCUGGUCUGGUCUAGUCUCACUGAUGUAUCUGAGGUCAGCUUCUGGUUGGCUGGGGGCUGGCUGGUCUUGGAUGGCCCUCAGCUGACCGAGUUUAGUCUCUGCUUCCUGUGAUCUUCCAUCCUCCAACAGAGCAGCCCACACUGGUUCUCAUGGCUAUUGACAGGGUUCCAAGAGAACAGAUGGAAUCACACAAGGCUUCAUAAGGCCCAGCCUUAGAACUGACACAGUGUCAAUUCCACUGCAUUCUAUUGCUUAAAGCAAGUCAUAAGGCCAGCUCAAAUUCAAGGAGUGAAAAAAUAGAUUUCACCUCUUGAUGGGAGAAGCUAUAUAGUCUUACUGCAAAGGGGUGUGGAUAUAGGAAGAGUGAAGGAUUGUGGCUACUUUUGGAAGCUACACAGCUACCCCAAAGAAACUAUUUGACUAAAAUGUGUGAAGAAGCACAGAUUCCUAGGAAGCAUCAUCACUGGGUGAGUCAAUACCCAAAUGUUCAUAGUUUUUCUUCAUUUUAUUUUGUAACUUGAACAUUUUGCAUGUGUAAUCAUGAUUUUCAGUACCUGCUAAAAUAGGUGUUUGGAACUGGACCAUGGGGACUGUUUGAGAAGAAAGGCACUUGCAAAAAUGUCACUGAGAAUGAAGACUCUGACAGGAAGCUUCAUAAGGGAAGGGGCUGUGUCCACUUUAUUAACUUUUAUCUGUAGCAUCUCACAUGAUUAGCACAUGGAAAGCACUCAGCAAAUAUUUGUUGAACGGUUAAUAGUAAACGUCUAUUUACUGUUGUAAAGGAGAGCUGAAUGUCUAGUCUUAUCUAGCAGUAUGGCUGCGUGUGGACGUGCAGGUGAUGCCCUUUCCAAGGACAUGCCGAGCAAAGAGGAGUGGAGCCGAAAUCCAACCUGCACUGGGCUAGCCAAGAAGCAGGUCUGGUCCCUGGCUUCAUCAACCUGCAGGAGGCAUCAUUUUAAAUUCAAAAGCACAUUUUGCUUGCUAAGCAUUGAGCCCCUAGGGCUACAUAUAUGUGGAAAGGGCACCUAUUUUAUGUCUCAGAAGUGCCCUGUGGGCUAGCAGGGCCCCGAUACUCAACCUCAGGUAGCAGAGAAAUGGUUUCUGAGGAACAUGAGAUGGCACAAAAUGCACAAAGCAAGAAAAGUAAGCACAAAACACUGUUCUUAUAAGUGGAUCAAGAUAAAUGAAUGAGGGAUUGAGAGAACCAGGAGGAAGAAAAAAAGAAAGACUUAGGUUAAUAUGUCUGAAUCGAAUUCAGAAACCAACUGAAAGUUAACAGAUCAGAACAUUGAAGCACCCCAAAUAUGAUUUGUUUCUAUAAAAGGCAAAUCUAUAUAGAGAGAAAAUAGAUUAAUCGUUGCCUGGGGCUGAGAGUAGGAAUGGGGAUUGACUGUAAAUGCGCUCACAGUUUCAUUUUAAGGUGAUGGAAGUGUUCUAAAAUUAGAUUGUGGCCGUAGUUGUACAGUUCUGUAAAUGUACUAAUGGUAUAUUGAAUGGUAUGCUUAAAAUGGGUGGAUUGUAUGGUAUGUAAAUUAUAUCUCAAUAAAACCAUUUU